CCCCCCGGACCCGGGAUAGCCCAGGGAAACCUGGAUUAAUACCGGAUGAGACGGGACCCGCGAUGGCGGGAUCCGGGAAAGGCGCUGCGGCGCCGCCGGGGGAUGAGUCUGCGUCCCAUUAGCUAGACGGCGGGGUAACGGCCCACCGUGGCGACGAUGGGUAGCCGGCCUGAGAGGGUGGACGGCCACUUUUGGAACUGAGACACGGUCCAGACUCCUACGGGAGGCAGCAGGCUAAGAAUCUUCCGCAAUGGGCGAAAGCCUGACGGAGCGAACCGCCGCGUGAACGAAGAAGGCCGUGAGGUUGUAAAGUUCUUUUCGGGAGGGGGAACAACCGUGGCAGGGAAUGGCCGCGGGAUGACGUGAAUCCCGGAAUAAGCCCCGGCUAACUACGUGCCAGCCGCCGC
RNAcentral lists this ribosomal RNA (407 nucleotides) under uncultured bacterium. Its description in RNAcentral is "bacterial SSU rRNA". It matches the Rfam family "Bacterial small subunit ribosomal RNA", at positions 129 to 518 of the family's 1533-position model. The record is from RNAcentral.